GACGAACGCUGGCGGCGCGCCUAACACAUGCAAGUCGAACGGAGUCAAGAGGAGCUUGCUUUUCUUGACUUAGUGGCGAACGGGUGAGUAACGCGUGAGUAACCUGCCCUGGAGUGGGGGACAACAGUUGGAAACGACUGCUAAUACCGCAUAAGCCCACGGAUCUGCAUGGAUCUGCGGGAAAAGGAAUUAUUCGCUCUAGGAUGGACUCGCGUCCAAUUAGCUAGUUGGUGAGGUAACGGCCCACCAAGGCGACGAUUGGUAGCCGGACUGAGAGGUUGAACGGCCACAUUGGGACUGAGACACGGCCCAGACUCCUACGGGAGGCAGCAGUGGGGGAUAUUGCACAAUGGGGGAAAUCCUGAUGCAGCGACGCCGCGUGGAGGAAGAAGGUUUUCGGAUUGUAAACUCCUGUCGUUAGGGACGAUAAUGACGGUACCUAACAAGAAAGCACCAGCUAACUACGUG
This 468-nucleotide ribosomal RNA is filed under the name uncultured bacterium. RNAcentral's name for it is "partial 16S ribosomal RNA". It matches the Rfam family "Bacterial small subunit ribosomal RNA", at positions 28 to 507 of the family's 1533-position model. The record is from RNAcentral.